GGACGACGGCUGGCGGCGUGCCUAACACAUGCAAGUCGAGCGGGGUUGAAGCGAGGGGUAACUCGAGUUUCUACCUAGCGGCGGACGGGUGAGUAACGCGUGGGCAACCUGCCUCAAGGACUGGGAUAACAGCUCGAAAGGGCUGCUAAUACCGGAUAAGCCUAUGGCCUCGCAUGGGGCCAUGAGCAAAGGGGAAACCCGCCUUGAGAUGGGCCCGCGUCCCAUCAGCUAGUUGGUGAGGUGAAGGCUCACCAAGGCGACGACGGGUAGCCGGCCUGAGAGGGUGACCGGCCACACUGGGACUGAGACACGGCCCAGACUCCUACGGGGGGCAGCAGUGGGGAAUCUUGCACAAUGGGCGAAAGCCUGAUGCAGCGACGCCGCGUGAGCGAAGAAGGCCUUCGGGUUGUAAAGCUCUUUUGUACGGGAAGAUAAUGACGGUACUGUACGAAUAAGUCCCGGCUAACUACGUG
RNAcentral lists this ribosomal RNA (473 nucleotides) under uncultured bacterium. RNAcentral's name for it is "bacterial SSU rRNA". It matches the Rfam family "Bacterial small subunit ribosomal RNA", at positions 27 to 507 of the family's 1533-position model. The record is from RNAcentral.